UAACGAAUCUUCCGCAAUGCACGAAAGUGUGACGGAGCGACGCCGCGUGUGGGACGAAGUCCUUCGGGAUGUAAACCACUGUCAGGGGUUACCAAGUUCUGAGGAGCCCCAGAGGAAGGCACGGCUAACUCUGUGCCAGCAGCCGCGGUAAGACAGAGGUGCCGAGCGUUAGGCGGAAUCACUGGGCUUAAAGCGUGUGUAGGCGGGUCGUUAAGUGUCUUGUGAAAUCCCACCGCUCAACGGUGGAACCGCUGGGCAUACUGGCGAUCUUGAGCAGUCCAGGGGCGAGCGGAACAAGCGGUGGAGCGGUGAAAUGCGUAGAUAUCGCUUGGAACGCCGACGGUGAAAACAGCUCGCUGGGGACUCGCUGACGCUGAGACACGAAAGCCAGGGGAGCGAACGGGAUUAGAUACCCGCGUAGUCC
RNAcentral lists this ribosomal RNA (424 nucleotides) under uncultured bacterium. RNAcentral describes it as "bacterial SSU rRNA". It matches the Rfam family "Bacterial small subunit ribosomal RNA", at positions 355 to 796 of the family's 1533-position model. The record is from RNAcentral.